UGCGUCAUGACAACCUCAAAAUGACGCUGGAGUGAUCGAGGACGUCCCGUUUGAUAAAUUAAGUUCCUCCUUCCUCACGUCUCUCAUCCUCGCUGGGAAGAGACGUGAGUGAAGGAAACGAGGAGACACAUUAGUGUAAUGAAAAGCACCCAGAAUCUCAGCUCCCACUCCGGCAUCCUCCAUCAGCUGUGCCGGUCGGGGGUUUCCCAGUGAGGAGGUUCAAGUAUCUUGGGGUUUUGCUUCCCAGUAAGGAUAAGAUGGAGAGUGAGACUAACAGAUGACUGGUUGCAGCAGCAACAAGGAUGUUGCAGAUUCCUUCUCCUAACUUACCUUUUGGUCCUGAGGGGGAGUUUUGUAAACGCUGCACCAGAUCCUUCCUGUUGAUCUUUUCUAAAAC
Long non-coding RNA from Thunnus maccoyii (southern bluefin tuna), 397 nucleotides. RefSeq lists it as uncharacterized. Lineage: Eukaryota; Metazoa; Chordata; Actinopteri; Scombriformes; Scombridae. The transcript is spliced from 3 exons. The record is from RefSeq and is a predicted model, not a curated record.